RNAcentral lists this RNase P RNA (425 nucleotides) under Ignavibacteria bacterium. Its description in RNAcentral is "RNase P RNA component class A". It matches the Rfam family "Bacterial RNase P class A". From Rfam's summary of the family: Ribonuclease P (RNase P) is a ubiquitous endoribonuclease, found in archaea, bacteria and eukarya as well as chloroplasts and mitochondria. Its best characterised activity is the generation of mature 5'-ends of tRNAs by cleaving the 5'-leader elements of precursor-tRNAs. Cellular RNase Ps are ribonucleoproteins. The record is from RNAcentral. Lineage: Bacteria; Pseudomonadati; Ignavibacteriota; Ignavibacteria.
GGUGCAAGUCGGGCAGUUGCGUUGCCAAAUGCUUUGGUAGCGAGGAAAGUCCGAACUCCAUAGAACAGGAUGCCGGGUAACACCCGGGAGUUGUUUUGAGCAAUCUAACAAUUACGGAUAGUGCCACAGAAAAUAUACCGCCCGCCUUUGGUGGGUAAGGGUGAAAUGGCAGGGUAAGAGCCUACCGCUUUGGAAGUAAUUUCAGAGGUCUGAAAGGAUUAUUCUCUUUAAUGAGGAUAACAAGGUAAACCCCAUCCGGAGAAAGGUCAAAUAGGAAAGUCUUUCCGGUAAAACGGAACAGAGUUGUUCGCUUUGAAUGGCUUUCGGGUAGACUGAUUAAGAUUUGGUGUAAACCAUAUUCUAGAUAAAUAACUGCCGUCCCUUUUUAGGGAUUACAGAAUUCGGCUUACAGACUUGCAUUCCAA